RNAcentral lists this ribosomal RNA (164 nucleotides) under uncultured eukaryote. RNAcentral describes it as "partial 18S ribosomal RNA". It matches the Rfam family "Eukaryotic small subunit ribosomal RNA", at positions 1487 to 1650 of the family's 1831-position model. The record is from RNAcentral.
CCGCACGCGCGCUACACUGACAGGGUCAGCGAGUACAUCACCUUGGCCGAGAGGUCCGGGUAAUCUUGUUAAACCCUGUCGUGCUGGGGAUAGAGCAUUGCAAUUAUUGCUCUUCAACGAGGAAUGCCUAGUAGGCACGAGUCAUCAGCUCGUGCCGAUUACGU